GGGCGGCGCCGCGGCGCAGGGCGUGGGCUCCGUCAUCACGCAAUCGGUGUACGCGAGCAUGCUGCCCAACCGCGACAACUCGCAGUGCCCGGCCAGGGGGUUCUACACGUACGACGCCUUCAUCGCCGCCGCCAACACCUUCCCGGGCUUCGGCACCACCGGCAGCGCCGACGACGUCAAGCGCGAGCUCGCCGCCUUCUUCGGCCAGACCUCCCACGAGACUACCGGUACGUCAAUCAGUCAGUCAGUGUUGCUUUCGGAACUCGAUCGUGGCUGCCUUGAUUAACCGUACGUGCUUGUGCAUGGAAUGCCAACGUUGCAGGAGGGACGAGAGGCGCCGCCGACCAGUUCCAAUGGGGCUACUGCUUCAAGGAGGAGAUAAACAAGGCCACGUCUCCACCCUACUAUGGACGGGGACCCAUUCAAUUGACAGGGUGAGAAAAAUUGCAAAUUAUUAUAGCACACUUUGAAGCAUCUUCUACAUGCAAAAUAUUUCCUCUGUAUCUAAAUAAUUAUAGUUGUUGCCAUGAAAAGAACAAAGGAAGUACCGUUUCAAAAAAAUAAAAUAAAUACCACACACUGAAAUAAUCUGUAGAAAAAUCUGCUUGAAAAGUACAGCAGUGUUGACAUUCAUUUUCGCAUGCAAUCAUUCUAGUAACAACAAAGACCCGAGGCCUUGGUUGCUUUGCGGAAAAGAUUGUUCUGAUGAACCAAUAAUUCCUUGUGCGAUUGACCAGGCAGUCCAACUACGAUCUCGCCGGGAGGGCGAUCGGGAAGGACCUUGUGAGCAACCCGGACCUGGUGUCCACAGACGCGGUGGUGUCCUUCAGAACGGCCAUUUGGUUCUGGAUGACGGCGCAAGGCAACAAGCCGUCGAGCCACGACGUCGCCCUAGGCCGCUGGACGCCGACGGCUGCCGAUACAGCUGCAGGUCGGGUGCCUGGAUACGGCGUAAUCACCAAUAUCAUCAACGGCGGGCUCGAGUGCGGCAUGGGCCAGAACGACGCCAACGUCGACCGCAUCGGCUACUACACGCGCUACUGCGGCAUGCUUGGCACGGCCACCGGAGGCAACCUCGACUGCUACACCCAGCGAAACUUCGCUAGCUAGACACUAUGGAUAGUGUAUGCACGUGUUACGAAUAAAGGGCUACACUCAUGAAUAAGGGGCAACACAUAUCCCAUCAUGAAAUAAAUAAUUCGAUAUGUGAUCCAGUUGAUCGUGUCGUAUGAUAAUACGAGUAAGUUGUUGUAACAAAUUAUGUAAAUUGUUCAAUAAAAUCAUAUCAUUACAACUGGUUUUUUAAAUAUGGUACACUAAAAAUAAUCCACAUACACGAGUAUACACUCAUCUCUAUAAAGAUACGCAUGCAUAUCCUAUUCUAUCCAUAUGAGCACCUUCGAAAGACUGGCCCAACACAUCAUCUUGAUAUUGACAAAGUCAUCACAUAUACCUUCAUAGUCGACGGAAAUGUCUCUUCUCACUAAACGCACAUGGUUGAAAACCAGAAAUAAAUGAAGAAAAAUAGGAACACUAAUGUCAUGUAUGGACUUGAACUCUAGUGAAUAUACAUAUCACUCUCUUUCUAACCAUCAAAGCACAGAUUGGUAUCAUUGUUUUAUUUUGUUGUAUGUGAGAGGAUGUAUAGCAGACCAACUAACGUGACAAAUAUUUUACUUGUUUAAUCAGUUCUUCAUAACAAAAAGGAAAGAAAAGUCAGGAUUUAUGAAAUGAAUGAGGCUAACGCGUGUUUCGUUGCAUCGGUCUUCACUCGUUUUUUUAGAAAAGGAGGAUGAUCCCCGGCCUCUGCAUCUGGAAGAUGCAUGCGGUCAUUUUAUUGAUUAUUCUCGAGGACCUUACAAAGCAGUACAACAAUAUGCCUGAAUCCGCCAUCUUGGCAACAUCUGCCGCUACUCCUAUCCAUAUGAUGAAGGGGUGCAAGCUGGACCAAAUACCCAGACCUCUCACCUAAGCCUAACAUCUAAAGCCGGAUACCCUGACCGAGCCACAUACCGGGUCCGGGGCACAAACCGGUCCGACGCACUCACAUGUGUCGUCGCCGCCAUCUUCCAUUGCUCCAUCUUCAGAUCAGAUUGAGGUACCAGCCUUGGCAGGUGCCUCCUCCAUCGACGCCAUCAUGAUGCCAAACGACGACAUCCACCAACGCGAGUCCAUCUCCAAGCAACUGACGAAGAUCCAUGCUAGGAUAGGGCCGCAUCACCGCCGUCGCCCACCACCCACAAGCGCCACCCAGCCCCAAGGUUCCCAAAGCGACGCCUUCAAGAAGGGAACGGCGCCGUGAGCGCCGCCGCCGCCCAACAAAGUUAGGGCUUUCGCCGGGAGACCUAGGGGAAGGGGAAGUGAGGGGAUCAGUCCAUACCAACGCCUCCAAGGAGGGGAACGACGCCCUCGGGCGUCGCCGUCGACGCGGCCGGCCAUGGCCGACCAGGGAUUUCGCCCGACCUAGAUCCCCACCACCAGCAGCACCUCCUGUACAAAACCGGCAAUCCAAGGAAGCGCGGCCCGACCAGGCUGGCCCACACGCCGAACAGGGAAGGAGGGGAGGCGCUAGAUCGCGCGCACCGGCCACCGCAAAAGCCGCCACCAGACGUCAGCGACCACCGGAUCCCGCCGCCCGCGUGGCCGAGACGCCGGAUCCACCUCCCGCACGGCUGCUAGCCUACCGUGCCUCGCCAAUGAAGCCGCCGUUCCAGAUCCGGAACUCCACAUGCAGAGGCAGGGUAACCUAGGCCCCGCCGCCACCAUCCUUGGCGCCCCGGGCUUGCCCGGCGGCUGCCUCAGGCGGCGGCGAGGAAGGGAUGGGGAGGGGGAGGCGGCUAGGGUUGGGAUGGAGGGAGCGUGGGAUUAACUUUAUAUAUAUAUCAGUUUACUGCAGACAGUUGUUUGAUUUUGGCUUUAUCAGUUGUCUUGAGUUUUAGUUAUAUUUUGGUGGUGGUUUUUUCCUUUCAUAUAUUUUGUUGGCUUUUGUUGAAAAUGAUUUUUUUAGAUGAGAUUAGAGUUGUUCGAUGUGGGGUUUUGGGGUCUUCAAACCUUUCGGCCUUGGAGUCAGCCGAGGAUGGUUUCAUGAGCCCUUUGGGAGCUCUCAUUCCAUACUAAAAUUGUAGAAUCGCUCCUAAGAGCAUCUCUAAUAGGGCAGCCUCUUUUCAAUUAUAGGGCAGGCAAAAUCGAGAUAUAGGACAGCAAAACAACAGUCGUUUUACCAGCAGCCCAAGAUAGGGCAGCACCCGCCCCAGCAGCCACUACUAAGAAAAGGGCUAUAGAUGAUAUAGAUAUUAAUGCCGCACCACACAAGCCGUGCGCCACUACUAUAUAAUAAUGGCGUACCAUGUGAGGUGUGCCAUUAGUGUGGUGGAUAUUAAUGGCGCACCACACUCUCGGUGCGCCACUACUAUAUAUAUAUAUAUAUAUAUUUUUGCAAAACUACUAAUGGUGCACCAGCACCUGGUGCGCCAUUAGUAACCUGGUUACUAAUGGCACAUAUGUUAGUAGUGCGCCACUACUAUAAAAAAAAUUGGUUUUUUUUUGCAAACUACAAAUGGCGCACCAAAGCUAGUGCGUCAUUAGUAAGCAGUGUUACUAAUGGCGCAUCUAUUGGUGGUGCACCACUACUAUUUUUUUUACAGAACUACUAAUGGUGCACCAGAGGAGGUGCGUCAUUAGUAACCAGGGUUACUAAUGGCGCAUAUGUAGGUGGUGCGCCAUUAGUAACCUGGGACCAGCUAGAUAUUUUGGACAACCACCUACCACACUCACUUUCCCCACUUUCAUUCUCUCCACCUCCUCCUCCAAGCUUGUCUCAGGUGCCUCCUCCUCCUCACCUCAUUUGCAUCAUAGAUUCACCCAAAUUAAGUGGUUAAAUUACCUUUUUUUGAUAGGUAAGUAAGGGGAAAGCUUUUAUGUUGUAGAUCUACUUUUUUCUCCCUCCAACAACGUGCACAUGCACUUUUUAUGGCCUAGCUAGAUCUACGUAUGUUUGUUGUGUUGCAUAUGUUUGUGGUGUUGCAUAUUUGUUUGUGUUUGCAGGUACCGGUAUUUGAAAUGCGAUAGUUGCCAAUAUUUUCCCGGAAUGUUGAUUCAUUUCCGUUUCGGUGAGAAUUUGGCACUAUGCAUUCUUUUUUGUCCUAUUUUUAGGCAAAGUCAUGCCAAAAAAAAAUUUUGGUUAUAAAAUAUCAUUUUGCUUUACCCCGCACGCGACCAUGGUCCGCACGAUGACCGAAGGCAUCGUGAAUAGGUUUUUGAGCUCCGCGAAGGCCGAGAUGCUUCAAAAGAACGAGACGAAGAUAAGAUGUCCGUGUCGAAGAUGCAAGCUGAAGAGCCUUAUGGACCCGGAUUCCGUAAAGGUGCGGGACCACCUGCUCUUGCGUGGUUUCAUGGAUGGCUAUCGGUGGCAAGGUGAUGAAGAUGAUUAUGAAGUCGUCCAUGGGGGCCGGGAAAGAAAUGAGGAAGGGCAUGAGCAAGACAACCGCGGCGAGGGCGGGCGAGAAGACGAAGAAUCUCCAGGACACAGUCAUCAUGUAGAAGAUGCCGGACAUGAUGAUGAGGAAGAUGCCGGAGCAGACGAAGGGCAUGAUCAUGAAGAUGAAGAUGCCGGAGCAGACGACGAUGGACCAUCCAUGCCCUGGGUGCAGGACCCUCAUAUUCAAGAGCUGCUUCUCAAGCAGACGGAUAACGCAAGAGCUGCCGCCCGAGAGAAAGCCAAGCUGGAUCAACUUGAGAUAGACGCGGUUACUCCAUUGUAUGAAGGAUGCAGGCCCGAGGAUACCCGCCUGAAAGUAAUGCUCAUGGCUCUGGAGAUGAAGGUAAAACACAAAAUGACCGACGCAUGCUUCGACGAGAACAUGUCAUUCUGGCACGAACGUCUUCCCAAGGGGAACAACUGCCCGACCAGUUUCGAGGAGGCAAAGAAAAUCGUGUGUCCUCUGGAUUUACCGCACGUGAAAUACCAUGUGUGCAUGAACAAUUGCAUCAUUUAUCGGGACGAGCACGCGGAGUCUACCAUAUGUCCGGUGUGCAGCGUCAGUCGAUACAAGAAGAGGAAGAAAGCUCCUCAAAAAGUGGUGUGGUACUUUCAUAUCACUCCUCGUCUGCAACGGUAUUUCGCGGACCCUAAGGUAGCAAAGCUCCUGCGUUGGCACGCGGAUAGGGAGGAGAAAAAGCGAGAAGAUGACGGAAAUGAUCCGGAGAUAAAUAAAAAAGACAAGAUGCUGAGUCACCCUAAGGAUGCGAGCCAGUGGCAAGCGUUGAACUACGAAUACCCAGAAUUUGGGGACGAUCCAGGGAACAUCGUGCUGGGCGCGAGCACCGAUGGAGUCAAUCCGUUUGGCAGCCAGAAAAUCACACAUAGCACCUGGCCUGUGUUUGUGUGGAUGUACAACCUUCCCCCUGGUUGUGCACGAAGAGGAAGUACAUUCACAUGAGUAUGCUAAUUGAAGGGCCUAAACAACCAGGGAACGACAUCAAUCUAUAUCUGGGGCUGUUGAAAGAGGAGCUAGACACGCUGUGGAAAACGCGAGCCAAUACGUGGGACGCCGCAGAGAAAGAAUAUUUCCCUAUGAGAGCCGCACUGCUCCCGACGGUGCACGACUAUCUCGGUUAUGGAUAUGUCGCGGGGCAGGUGGUCCACGGGUUUUCUGGAUGCGUCAGGUGCAUGGAUGACACAAUGUAUCGCCAGCUAGAUAGAGAUCCCGGGUCUUCAAAAACCGUGUUCAUGGGACCUCGAAGGUGGCUUCGCAACGAUGACACAUGGAGAAAACGCAAGGAUCUGUUCGAUGGUGAAACCGAACCCCGAAGACGCCCCCUUAUGAGGAGCGGCGAGGAAAUAUACGAGCUGUUGAAAAAUUGGAAAAAGUGCCCACCGCCGGGAAAGGCGCUAGAGCCGGGAAAGAAGCGAAAGGCGCUAGAGCCGCUCCUGAAGGUAUGGAAAACGAGGUCUGUUUUCUGGGACUUGCCGUACUGGAAGAUCCUCCGUGUGCCUCACAGCCUUGAUGUCAUGCAUAUCAUGAAGAACGUGUGCAAGAGUCUGCUUGGUACCCUGCUCAACAUGCCAGAGAGGACCAAAGAUGGACCGAAAGCAAGGGCAGACUUGAAAUCAAUGGGCAUCAGGGAGGAGCUUCAUGCUAAUAAUGAUGAUGAUGAUGAUGAUGAGGCGAAGCAGGACACGGAAAGUCGUCGCAAAGGCAAAAAGUACAAGAAGACCGGAAAUGACUUUCCUCCCGCGUGCUUCACUCUAAGUCAGGAGGAGAUCGAUCAGUUUUUCACCUGCCUCAUAGGAGUAAAACUUCCUUACGGUUACGCGGGGAAGAUAAGCAGAUACCUAGACUCAGCGAAGCAGAAGUUUAGCGGGAUGAAGUAUCACAACUGUCACGUGCUGAUGACGCAGAUACUUCCAGUUGCAAUCCGUGGGAUCAUGGACGCGCACGUCCGUGAAAUGCUUUUUGACCUAUGCAACUUUUUCGACGUCAUCUCUCGGAAGUCGGUUGGCGUGAGGCAACUCAGAAGGCUACAGGAAGAGAUCGUGGUGAUACUAUGCGAGCUUGAGAUGUACUUCCCGCCCGCAUUCUUCGACGUUAUGGUGCAUCUGCUGGUCCAUAUCGUGGAGGAUAUCAUCCAACUCGGGCCGACGUUCCUGCACAUCAUGAUGCCGUUCGAAAGGAUGAAUGGUGUCAUCAAAGGAUACGUCCGCAACAUGUCACGUCCAGAGGGAAGCAUAGCCAGGGGCUUUCUGACCGAAGAGUGCAUCUCCUACUGCACGAAUUAUCUAGGCAUCGAGAACCUCGUUGGUCUGCCCGUCAACAGGCACCUCGGCAGGCUCGCAGGAUGGGGUCACCGUGAGGGUCGCCGCGAAAUGCAUGUCGACUUCGAGGGUCGACUCGCCGACUUUGAAAGAGCAAACCUAGUCGCGCUACAACACAUAGACGUGGUCGAUCCUUGGGUCGUAGAGCACAAAACCUUUAUUGAAAAGACGUACAAUGACCGAGGCCAACAGAGGACGGACGGAGAUAUAAUCAAAGAGCACAACUCAUGUUUAACGCGUUGGUUCAAGCAGAAGCUUUUGUCGUAGCCUUUACAUGAGGAUUCUUCCGCGGAAGAACAACUCAUAUUCGCCUUGUCACAGGGCGCCGAGCACAACCUGAUGAUGUAUGAGGCGUACGAUACCAACAGCUACACAUUCUACACCGAGGGAAAGGACAUGAAGAGCGAUGGUUAUCAGAACUCCGGGGUAACGAUGGAAUCCUACACCGGUAACGACAAGGACAGAUACUACGGAAGGAUCGAGGAGAUCUGGGAGCUGAGCUGCGCUGGAGAGAAGGUCCCGAUGUUCCGUGUCAGAUGGGCCAAGAGCGUCAUAAAAGAAGACCGGUAUUUCACCACCAUGGUUAUACCCGAAGCCAAAUCCAAGACCGCGGGCGCAAAAGUCACCGCGAAAAAUGAGCCAUGGGUACUGGCUUCCCAAGUGGACCAAUGCUUCUUCAUUACCGACCCGCCAAAGCCCAGUCGUGUUGUCGUGAGGAGAGGCAAAAGGAAGAUCAUCGGAAUGGAUGGAGUCGCCAAUGAGCAAGACUUCGACAAGUACGGCGACCCGAAGAUGGAACAUGACGACGAUGAUGAAGUACCAGCAUACACCACAAGAAGAAGCAGGACCACCCUACCUAAAGGACGUCCGUUCAAGAGAAGAACUCCAUUUACGAAAAAUAAGGGCAAGAAGAUUGUGAACAAAUAGCUAGCUAAGAUCGAUUAUAUUUAAAUUUGAUGAUAUUUUUUCAUAUUCAAUAUGAAAAAAUAUUGAAUAUUCAUGAGGACACUCGAUCUCGAUCCCCUCCAUCUCGAUCGCUAUCACCCCUCGCAAGAUCCCCCUCGCCGCCGAGCACCCCCCGCACCCUCCCCCGCUCCACCACCGUCGCCGUCGGCAUACUUACCACUAGAACACCUAUUCAGAAGAUACUAGGCACUUCUCAAAAAAAUACUAGGCACUUCUCAAACCAAGGUGCAACCAGCACAAGAAAACAAUGCAAAAAAAAUAAAAAUACUAGGCACUAGAUGUUGUUGUGAGGCACUAGAUAUUCAUAGGCAUCUAAUUGCAAACAUAAAAAAAAAUACUAGACAUCUACUUGCAAACAUAAAAAAAUUUACUAGGCACUUCUCAAACCAAGGUGCAACCAGCACAAGAAAACAAUGCAUAGAAAAAAAGGAAAAAAGAGAGGGGGGAAGAGGAUUCGAACCCGCAACCUCCUGCUAGGAGGCAAAACCCACGGACCACUGUGCUGCUACUUCGGAGGUUAACAACAUAGAGAAGGCGCACCUCAUAUACAUGCGCCAUUACUACAUAAAAAAACAUUCUAAUGGCGCACCGCUCGGGGUGCGCCAUUCCUAAGCCGGGCCGCGCCCUCCUCUCUUCUCCCGCGGCCUCCCCCUACCCCUUUCCACCAAACAGCAGCUCCCCCACCUUCGUCCACGCAGCCCACGGAGCUCUGGCGGCGCUAGGGUUUUCUCCGCCUCUGCCUCCGCCUCAGAUAGCCGAGGUGCGAAAUAUUAUCAGCCCCAACACACUCAAGAAGGUGGUCUCUGAGCAGAUGAACUGGAUCCCAUUACAUCAGCAGAAGAAGGGAUGAAAAAGAAAGACUAACAAGGGUGCGAGCCAGCCGGCACUGAGUACGAUCCGUGCUCUGGACGGGCCACCUUCACCUAAGGAUAUCUCGAGGAGGGUGCAUGUGGCGGGUAGGCCGAUGCUACCGACUAAUCUACUCAAUGCUGCAACUGGUGCUAUGCGGAGUCUGCAUGACAGUGUUCUUUGUUUGGAGAAGCGGCGUCUCUCCGAGAAUAAUGUGGCAUACCCGGUUUUCGUGGCCAAGGUGCCAGAGGGCAAGGGCUUUGUCGAUAGGCCAUCGGGGGUAUGAUCGUCCUGCGGUUUGUUGACAUCUUCGCUAUGUUUAACCUUCAUCCGCUGCACUACACCUUCGUUCGGCUAUUUUCGCUGAGUAUGGAGAUGCGGAUCAUUAGAGACAAGACCCCGAACCUAGUGAUAGUCGACCCCUUCUAUAUGCGUGCCAAGAUCUUGGGCAGCGCUGGGGACCGGCAAGUCACGAGUUCAUACCUCGAAGGCGUCAUUCUGGCAAACUCAGAAAAGGAUAACUUCCUCGUGCCUUACUUUCCCUGGUAAGUUAUCCCCUCAUCGCCACGUAACAUAUGAUUUCUUAGAUUUUGAUCGUCCUUUUUUUCUAACAUUCCGUGUUUUGUGCAGUGACACACGUUGCACACUCAUCCUCUUAAGUCUGAAAUAUUCCACGGCCACGUAUUUCGACUCGGACCGUCAGUCAAAAAAAGACUACACAAAUAUCAAGAAAGUUCUUGAUGAAGCUCUUCCCGGCUAUGCCAUAUCUGGAGGCACCUUCAGCAGGACAAGUCUCAGGCACGGCAAGCACGUGUUCACCCACAAUACGACGUUCGCCUGCGUCAAGCAGCCGCCUGGCAGUCAGAAGGAUGCCUACUACGCCCUCCAUCACAUGCGGGCGAUCAUACGGGAUAGUAAUCACCUUCGGCUACCAAAUAAUCUCAAAUAUUGGGCCGCACACUUGUCGGCAAUCCAGGAUGCGGACAUCAGACAAGAAUUCUUUCGCAUCCAGUCGGAGUUUGCAGAAAUCAUCCAUCAAGAUGUCCUUCGUACCUCGGGGCAGUUCUACCUCAGAUCUCCGCUGUCCUAUACUGAGAUAGAUACAAUGCUACAAAUGCAGGCUGACAACGACCGCAAUUUCAUGACCAUCACGAAAGAUGGCGGCUUCAUCCACGUUCCCGUGAAUCGCUACUAAUUCAUGUUGCAAUAUUAAACUUUAAUGAACUGGUAUGUCUCUUUGGUUUGGACAGUCGUUCAACUUAUAUAUAAUCGAUGCUAUUUAUUAGUAGGACCAUGAAUCGUGCUGUUAUAGUUGUAAUAUUAAACUUUAAUGAACUUGUAUGUCUCUGUGAAUUGCUACUAACGUUUUGUUUGGCUAGUGCAUAGAGAUGCCGUCGUAUGUCGUGUACAAGGGUAAGGUUCCCGGAGUCUACGACGACUGGGAGGAGUGUCGGAGACAGGUUCACCGAUUCAGCGGUAACAGUUACAAUGGGUACACCACAAGGGCGGAGGCGGAAGUUAGAUACGCGCGCUAUCUACGGGAGAGAGGAGGGAGCGUUGGAGGAACCGGAUGAAGACCAGUUUCAUUGCGAUUAUGCUCAUCGUGAUGACCGCAUCUCUCUUCUAUAUGUGAUGGUAGUUUAGAUGGUCGAUAUAUCAACUUGUAAUGUGAAGACAAAUUCGCUGCUCGCGGUCUCGAGACUUGUAGUAUUCUAACUUUUUUCGGUAUUUUAAAUUCGGAGACUAAUAUGAUGAAUUGUAUUCGGAGACUAAUCUUCUAUUGUAUUCGAUAAAUCUGUUGUUUAUAUGUUGUGCUAUCCAUAUUCUGUGCAAUAAUAUAUUUUGUAAUAUGUGCAAAUAUCAGAAAAAAUAAAAUAAAUACCUAAUAUUCAUACUAGUGACGCAUCACUCAGCACACUAGUGCGCCAUUAGUAAGCGAGAGCAUAUGGGUAAAUAUGGCCCUGGGAGGCAUACUAAUGGCGCACCACAAGCUAUACUAAUGGCGCACCAGGAUAUAUACUAAUGGCGCACCAGUAUCUAUACUAAUGGCGCACCGUGAGCAAUACUAAUGGCGCACCGUGAGCAAUACUAAUGGCGCACCGUGAGCAAUACUAAUGACGCACCGUGAGCAAUACUAAUGGCGCACUACCUGGUGCGUCAUUAGUAUACCAGAUACUAAUGGCGCACUUGUAAUGCGCCAUUAGUAAAAAAAUCUAAUGGCGUGAUGCUAGUGGCGCACCUAUAGUGCGCCAUUAGUAGCAAAAAAUGGUGCGCCAUUAGAAGGCCUUUUCCUAGUAGUGAGCUGCCCUCCAUGCUUGGGCUUCUUCCUCUUGUGCAAAAGCAAAAUCAAAGCAAUGUCUUCUUCAUCCUCCAAAUCGUAUUCCCCAUCGGAUGAAUCCUCAAUCAAAACCAUCUACAAACAAACUAGACCGUAUUAAAAAGUGUAAUCCUAAACUACAAACACAAAAAGCAAACAAAAAGUUGAAUACACAUUACCUCGAACACCUUGCGGGCGGCCGAACCGGUGGGUGGCAGCUGCGUCGCCGGAGCAAGCCUCUCCUAGUUGCUGCUGCCGUCGCUGGGUGUUGCAGGCGGCCAAGGGGAAGCAUAAGAGCGUCGUCGGGGUCGCGGCGGCGGCAUAAUCGGCGUCGGUGCCCCGGAUUCGUACAGCGGCGGCGGCGGCGGCAGAUCAACAAUUUAGGGCACUAAACCUCUUGCCUACUUGGGCAGCGGUAUUCCGACGACGAUGGGCAGCGGUAUUCCGGCAGGGGCGAGGUGCGGGAGGGACCGGCGGUGGACGGGCAGCGGAUUUUGGGCAGGGGCGCGGCCUACGGGCGGCGGAUUUGCGGCGGCGGCGGCGGAUUUGCACCGGCGGGGUCGAGGGCGGGAGAGGCUGGGAAAUUUUCGGGUGGCAGUUCGGCUGCGCGCGCGCGUCGUUGGGAAAAUAGGGCAGCCACACAAGUGUUGUAUAUUUGCAACAGUUGGACCAAAUUUAGGGCAGUGUUGUAAAAAAUAUAGGGCAGUUGAUGAAGAUAGGGCAGCUGUUGGAGCACGUUUUUGCCUCUUUUCUGCCCUAUAUGACAGUUUUUAUGCCCCACUGCCCUAUAUAGGGCAGCUGUUAGAGAUGCUCUAACACUCACAUAUGACGGUCACUAAACCUCUUGCCCACUUAGGUUGGCUCCCUGCUCAGCUUGCUCGUUUAGCUUUUUUUUCAGCUCGCUCGACUACUAGCUUAGAAAAAAAUACUGUCCUUUUUCUUAUUUAAAAAUGUUCUCUCUUCUGCUUCUUUCCCACGCCCCCUUGCAACCCUGUUCUUUCUUCUUCUUCUUCCCCAAGAAGAAAACAACGACCCUGUCAUGGAGAAAUCCUCAUUGAGACCGGCGGUGAGAGUGCUAAGCAUGAGCUCGUCGGAGAUUUUGGUGUCGAUGUCGCGAAGCUCAUCGGCGAGCAUCUUGAGCCGCAUGCAAUAGUCAACGAUGGUGGAGUCAUCCUGGUGGCACCUGAAGAGCUCUUGUUGCAAGAAAACAAGACACUGAAGCUUGUUAUCGGUGAAGAGCGCAUUGAUCUUGGUCCACACGGUGCAAGUAUCGUCGUCAUCGGUGACGACCGUGUGGAAGAUGUCCUUCAAGAUGGUUUGGUAGAACCACCGAAUGAGAGUGACCUCGAUGGCGGACCACUCCGGGACGCCCUUCAUGUACUCAGCGUCGACGAAGCCAUCUAUGUGUUCGGUGAGGUAGUACUCGCGGAAGACAAGGUUGAAGUAGGUCUUCCACGCGUAGUACGAGGAGGUGGAGGAGUCGAGGCGGAUGGGAACACGGGCAUCGAUGUUGAUGUCGCGGAUGGCUUCGACGAAGGGUGCAGGGCCGGCGAAGGGGUUGGUGCUGGAGGUGGCCGGCGAAUUCAUGGGGCCGGCUGCGGGGGAGAGAUGGCGAGCGGCGGCGGCGGCUCGGGUGGGAGAGGGGUAGCGGAAGCGAUGAGGCGUGCGGCAGCGGCGGCGGCUGCGAUAGGGUUUAGGUUAGGAACUUUUAGGAUGAUACCAUGUAGAGAGAGAUAUGUUUGGCAAUGCAACUCAUAAUAUUGAUUGAAUAUGCACAGAUAUACAGAAUACAAUAUGAACCUCUAUCUCAACUAUACAAAGGCUAGGAGAUAGACCAAACUAUGUACAUAUACACAUGCCCGACCCUAGGGGGGGGGGGGAGGNNNNNNNNNNNNNNNNNNNNNNNNNNNNNNNNNNNNNNNNNNNNNNNNNNNNNNNNNNNNNNNNNNNNNNNNNNNNNNNNNNNNNNNNNNNNNNNNNNNNNNNNNNNNNNNNNNNNNNNNNNNNNNNNNNNNNNNNNNNNNNNNNNNNNNNNNNNNNNNNNNNNNNNNNNNNNNNNNNNNNNNNNNNNNNNNNNNNNNNNNNNNNNNNNNNNNNNNNNNNNNNNNNNNNNNNNNNNNNNNNNNNNNNNNNNNNNNNNNNNNNNNNNNNNNNNNNNNNNGGGGGGGGGGGGAGGGGCGGCCGCCACGGGCCCCCGGAACCAGAGGGGCCCCCAACUCAGGUACGUGUGAGCGCCCCACCCCCAAUCUAUCGGAGACGCCACCAGAGCAGUUACAAAGUAGCUGCGGUAUGGCUCCGGGAAGAAGAAAGUCGAAACGGUAUUUCUUUUAGCUAAAUGGGCUUUGGGCCUUUGUUUCCUUUAGCUAAAUCGUGGUGUUAAGUGGUUGUGGGCUUCCUCUAAAAGAAGUAGUGGUGGGUUAUGUGUAAGAAAAAAUGAUGACGGGCCACACCAAGCUAGAGGAGGGAGAGGAGCACAUCGGUACAAAACUUAUAAAAGAAAGAAAAAAGAAGAUUGGUGAAUUCACAUGCCCACGUCUUGCCUGGUAUUACAACCCUGGCAAACUAAUAAGUUUUUCUUUUUUAUUGUAAAAUAAAUCUAUUUUUUUGCAAGUGUAGCAAACUAAUACUCUAUCUUGAUAAGAAAAAUAAACAUAUCAAAUUCAGUAUAUGUGCGGAGUCCCUAAAGAAAUGUAUCGUAGCGGAGAGACAAUAGCAACACGCACGGUGACGACGGACUGAUGACAUGAGCGUGCACUAUGGUCAUACUAUGAUAGCCAAAUAUGGAUGACUCAGUUGGUACUCUCGUCUUCAUAACUUUAUAUCAAUAAACACAAAUUGAAUUGAUUGUUCUACUUUGGUGUUAUGAAUUGAGAGUUGAUUGUUCUACUUUGGUGUUAUGAAUUGAGAGUUGAUUUUCUACUUUGGUGUGAAUAUUCAUAUGUGUCAUUUUAAUUGUUAUUUUUCUUCUUUAUAUUUUUGUAUAUAUGAACUUUUUUUUUCAUCUAUUAAGUUUUUUCAUUCAUAAAUUUAUUGUUUGCUCGGUCAUCAUGCUUGCGCGUAACUUGCCUGCAAAUGGGUAAAUGCAAUUUAGAUGAUCUUCUGUAUUCUGCUGCCUCAUUGUGACGACAAACUCUUGAUAUCAUGUGUGUCCCGGUCAGAAAUGACCCAUCACCGCCCUCAACGAGUCCUACCAAGAUGCGGUAUUGUGCACAUUAGCCCCCGCAUCGUCGUGAUCUUAUAGAACACAUGUGUCUGAUUCUCUUUCCAUAGAUAUCAUCGUUAAAGACCUUGUGUGCAAUCUUUUUGUGUGUGUGUGGUGGGGGGCUACCGGCCUUGCAUAUACAUGCAAACUACUUACUCCGUUUUUAAAUAUAAGUCUUUAAAGAGGUUUCAUGAAUGAACUACAUAUGGAUGUAUAUAGACAUAUUUUAGAGUGUAGAUUCACUUAUUUUGCUUCUAUAUGUAAACUCCUAAUGAAAUAUCUUAAAAGACUUAUAUUUAGGAACGGAGGGAGUAUAUGUUUAACAAGAUCAUUGGGCGCGGACCGCGGAGGUAGCGUAUUUCCACGAGCCAGCCGGUGACGACGAUGUAGAAGCUUCUUUCAGGGCCCCCCGUCCAUGCGCUGUGCAAGUACAAGUCUGACCGACGUGAGGCGCUGUACCAAACGAAGCGUAGCAAGUACAGCCAGAAUCAUCUGAAGCUUAGCAGCCAGCGGCCGCCGGCCGUUACCUGCAGCAUGCAUGUGACUGCACACUACGCCAAGAAGUCCGCGGCUAUAGACAACGCUCUGAAAAUAACUCUUUUGCACAGACGCGUGGAAUUCCGUGGUGGCCCGUCGGAUUUUCCCCCCGCAAAUAAAGAUCGCGCGCGCAACGUGGAACAGCUGGAUAGGGUAGCACGAGCCACGAACGGUGCAUCGUCAGCGCAUUUCCCUGCGCUGCACCCGAGCUGAGCAGCUAUAAAUUGAGCUGCAAGCCCAGCAGCUUCAUCACACAGGCGUCUUGCAUAGCUCUCCUUGCGCUAUACUACAUUUCACGAGCCGACUAGCUGAAGGUGAGUUAGCAUGGCGAGGCCUGCUGCCCUCGCGGUGUGCGCCGCCGCGCUCCUGCUCGCCGUGGCGGUGGGCGGCGCCGCGGCGCAGGGCGUGGGCUCGGUCAUCACGCGGUCGGUGUACGCGAGCAUGCUGCCCAACCGCGACAACUCGCUGUGCCCGGCCAGGGGGUUCUACACGUACGACGCCUUCAUCGCCGCAGCCAACACCUUUCCGGGCUUCGGCACCACCGGCAGCGCCGAUGACAUCAAGCGCGAGCUCGCCGCCUUCUUCGGCCAGACCUCCCACGAGACCACCGGUACGUCAGUCAGAGAGUGUUAAUUACUUGUUUUCGAUUGUUGCUUUCAACAGAAUUCGUGGAACUUUUGAUUCGGAUAUGAAGGGCUUGAUUGAAUCGUGUACGUGCUUGUGCAUGCCGUGUCGACGUGUAGGAGGGAC
RNAcentral lists this long non-coding RNA (15435 nucleotides) under Hordeum vulgare. RNAcentral's name for it is "long non-coding RNA (HVUL_LNC001532)". The record is from RNAcentral. Lineage: Eukaryota; Viridiplantae; Streptophyta; Magnoliopsida; Poales; Poaceae.